This 231-nucleotide ribosomal RNA is filed under the name Triticum aestivum (bread wheat). Its description in RNAcentral is "partial small subunit ribosomal RNA". The record is from RNAcentral. Lineage: Eukaryota; Viridiplantae; Streptophyta; Magnoliopsida; Poales; Poaceae.
AUGGCCUCGUCGGGGCAGCGCGCGGUGGCUCUCGCGGCGCUCGUGGUCGUCGUUCUGGUCGCCCGAGCAGGCCCUGCUGGCGCGGCGCGGCAGAUGCCGGUGGAGAGGAGCGGGGACCGCGCGGCGUUCUCGGCCCUCUACCCGGCGGCGACGGUGGUGGCGGCGGAGAAGGUGGAGAUGCUCAUGGCGAGGCUGCGGGCAGGGCCCAGCAAGAGGGGCGCCGGCCACUAG